AGUUUGAGGAAUGAGUUAGACUAGAAGAAAGGGACUUCAUAUAUUGAGUUCCUUUUUUUGCUCCAUGCAGUGUACCAAGCACUUUUAUGUGGUCUUUCCUUUAAUCCUCACUAACUACAGAUGUAAGAAGUGAAUAUUUCUUUUGCAAAAUGAGAAACUGAAGUUAGGAGGUAUUAAAUAGUCUGCCCAAAGUCACAGAGCUAAUAACUAUAAUUACAAUAGAGCUAAACCAAGCAGAAAUGUAAAACCAGUACUGUUUCAUCCAAAAACUGAUGUAUUAGGACUGCCUUCUGAAGAUAAAGUUGGAGAGACAGGGGUUAGAUUGUGAAAGUUCUUAAAGUCCAGGCUAAGGAGUUUGGACUCUGUCACAUGGAGAAUGAAGAGCCACUGAAAGAUGUUGGUGUUUUUGUUGUCGCUGUUUCUUUUUUCUUUCUCUCUGCCUUCUUUUUUUUUUUUUGAGUUGGAAAUGGAGGAAGCAUAGACAAAAGAGAGUAUUAACAAUAUAAGAUAACUGUUUAAUACAAACCAAUAUUCAUUUCUGCCUUUAGGUGUGAAAAUCCUUGAACCCACCGAAAUACCAGGAAUGAAAAUUCCAGAACCUUUUCCACUACCUGAAGAUAAAAGUCAAGGAAAUAUCAACAAUCCUACUCCAGGUCCAGUUCCUGUUCCAGGUCCCAAAAGCCAUCCUUCUGCAUCCUUGGGCAAAAUGCUGCUUCCACAGUUUGGGAUGGUCAUUUUAAUCAGUGUUUCUGCUAUAAAUCUCUUUGUUGCUCUGUAGUUCCCUGCAUUGUUUAUCUUUCUUGUUCUUUACUUGAAAUAACUAUAGGGAUCCCACAGGAGAUCAGAAGGAAUGACGUAUUUUUCACUUGUUGGCCAAAGUCACUGAUAAAAUGAGAAUUGUAUAUUUGUUAUUCAUUUUGCAAAUUCAGAAAGUUGGUCCAGAUAUAUGUUACAGAACUUUUCACUUCUAUACUAACUGAAAAAAAUCCCGAAAACUGUAUACUUCCGAUUGAAUUCAAUAAAAGAUUUUUAGAUAUUUCAGAAUUGCCAGUAU
RNAcentral lists this long non-coding RNA (1054 nucleotides) under Rhinopithecus roxellana (golden snub-nosed monkey). RNAcentral's name for it is "lncRNA (ENSRROG00000045832.1)". The record is from RNAcentral. Lineage: Eukaryota; Metazoa; Chordata; Mammalia; Primates; Cercopithecidae.